This 206-nucleotide ribosomal RNA is filed under the name uncultured bacterium. RNAcentral's name for it is "partial 16S ribosomal RNA". It matches the Rfam family "Bacterial small subunit ribosomal RNA", at positions 570 to 774 of the family's 1533-position model. The record is from RNAcentral.
CGCAGGCGGCAUCGCAAGUCGGUCUUAAAAAGUGCGGGGCUUAACCCCCGUGAGGGGACCGAAACUGUGAAGCUCGAGUGUCGGAGAGGAAAGCGGAGUUCCUAGUGUAGCGGUGAAAUGCGUAGAUAUUAGGAGGAACACCAGUGGCGAAAGCGGCUUUCUGGACGACAACUGACGCUGAGGCGCGAAAGCCAGGGGAGCAAACG